AACGAACGCUGGCGGCAUGCCUAACACAUGCAAGUCGAACGCCUGUAGCAAUACAGGAGUGGCGCACGGGUGAGUAACGCGUGGGAACCUGCCCCGAGGUGCGGGAUAACCGAUGGAAACGUCGGCUAAUACCGCAUACGACCUGAGGGUGAAAGAUUUAUCGCCUUGGGAGGGGCCCGCGUCGGAUUAGCUAGUUGGUGGGGUAACGGCCUACCAAGGCGAUGAUCCGUAGCUGGUCNGAGAGGAUGAUCAGCCACACUGGGACUGAGACACGGCCCA
RNAcentral lists this ribosomal RNA (279 nucleotides) under uncultured bacterium. RNAcentral's name for it is "partial 16S ribosomal RNA". It matches the Rfam family "Bacterial small subunit ribosomal RNA", at positions 29 to 333 of the family's 1533-position model. The record is from RNAcentral.